This 277-nucleotide ribosomal RNA is filed under the name uncultured Lachnospiraceae bacterium. RNAcentral's name for it is "partial 16S ribosomal RNA". It matches the Rfam family "Bacterial small subunit ribosomal RNA", at positions 68 to 339 of the family's 1533-position model. Lineage: Bacteria; Bacillati; Bacillota; Clostridia; Lachnospirales; Lachnospiraceae. The record is from RNAcentral.
UGGAUUUCUUCGGAUUGAAGUUUUUGUGACUGAGUGGCGGACGGGUGAGUAACGCGUGGGUAACCUGCCUCAUACAGGGGGAUAACAGUUAGAAAUGACUGCUAAUACCGCAUAAGCGCACAGUGCUGCAUGGCACAGUGUGAAAAACUCCGGUGGUAUGAGAUGGACCCGCGUCUGAUUAGGUAGUUGGCGGGGUAACGGCCCACCAAGGCGACGAUCGGUAGCCGGCCUGAGAGGGUGAACGGCCACAUUGGAACUGAGACACGGUCCAAACUCC